AAAAGCCUUCUUAGCAAAAGGAUCAGGGCAGAAGGAAUCGGCCCGUGGUGACUGCAAAGCUGUUGGAGUCCUAUCGGAAGGUAGGCAAGCCAGAUCUGCUUCAAGUUCCUGGAAAAACAGCUGUUUGAUGCUUGCUGGAAGUGGAGUAAUCCUAACAGUCGAGAUUUGGAGAAGCCACCACCUUACAGGAAGGCCAGAGCACUUGUCUGGGAUGCCAGGACACUCCUCCAGCUCCCAGCGUGGCCAGGAAAAACCUCAGGGCAGGUCAGGUCCAGCAACAUGAAAGCGUCCCCAGCUCUGCAGGGAUGUGAGCGGGGACGGCCAUGGGACAGAGGGAGCGAGGCUGAGCACGCUCCUCAGCGGUGACAGCAGCUUCUACAGCACUGUGAGUAAAUUACACGCGUUGGCAGUGGAUAUCCUUAGCAGUAAGGAAAAUUAGAAAGCGCGGUGAUUUCUGGUCAAAUAUCUUAUUUAAAAAAUAAAUAAAUACCAUUUCAAAGCAAGGCAUUCUCAAGGUUCCCCUCUCUCCCCACCUUCUUUCUUUCAUGUGUUUUCUUGUGUCAAAGCCUAGGCCCAACAUUAAAAUUAGCAACUGUUAUUAAAGGAGAGGCUUUUUAGGC
Molecule: long non-coding RNA, 620 nt
Organism: Oxyura jamaicensis (ruddy duck)
Lineage: Eukaryota; Metazoa; Chordata; Aves; Anseriformes; Anatidae
Exons: 3
Source: RefSeq, a predicted model, not a curated record